Molecule: long non-coding RNA, 3703 nt
Organism: Zootermopsis nevadensis
Lineage: Eukaryota; Metazoa; Arthropoda; Insecta; Blattodea; Termopsidae
Source: RefSeq, a predicted model, not a curated record
UUCCACAGCGAUGGACCAAUCAGGUACCCACCUCGUUAUCCAGAUGUAACCUCUCUUAAUUUUUUGUGGGAUUUUGUAAAAGACAGGUUUUAUGCCACCCCGAUAAGCGAUGUUGCUGAACUCCGCAGAAAAAUUACGAAUGUCAUCUGUACCAUCACAUCUGAUAUGCUGAAUAGCACAUGGGCUGAAAUCGAGUAUCGCUUAGAUAUCCUGAGCGCUACUAAUGGAGCUUAUGUGGAAGUGUGCUUAGUAAAACUUUUUGAGUUACUCUACAGAACGCCGAAAACCACGUGGUCCCAUCAGUCGGAGAUCCCUCCCAAAUUAAUGUGUUAAUGGGAAAGAAUUCAUAUGAACACUUUACUUCGAUAUCACGCACUACAACGUUAUUAAUAAAAAUUAUGACUUACAAACAUUCCUGUUAUGAAUGAAGAAUGACUGAGUGGAUUUUCAUGAAAUCUGUUAUGGGUAUUAAGCCGCUUACGACUUAAAAAUCGUAGUUAUUAAUUUCCUGUAUUUGGCAAUGCCAAUAUGACGGAUGUGGAUGUCUCUAAGUGAGACGACGAUGCUGUUACACAGAAUCGUCUGAGUGACUACGUCAUGGCCACUAACGAUGUCAUUGGCCUUGACGUAAUUUUCGGAUGACGUCCGAAGUGCAUAGAAUAUUGUGCAAGGAUUUGAAUUUGCUUGUAUUCCAACGAAACACCAUUUCAGUCUUGUUAGAUUUGGUUGUGAGUGCAGCACGAACUUAUAUUCUCAGUACCUAAGAGGGCCACAUGGCAUCUUUCGUCAGCGAGGUGAAUAUUUGACAGGCUUGGUUGUGCUUACCAAUACUCGACACACACUUAAUUCAACCAGAAUAGGCAUAGGACAACGAAAUGGACUUCUUCAAACGUAGAAACACACUGAAAUUUUAUACAUAUUAACUAUGGUGUUUUUGAAGAAUGAUCUGAAACAAGGAGAUGCAUCAGCCAGUAUAGUGAUUAGCUAAGGAAUGGACGACAGGGGUUCGACCCCCGACGGGCGCAGAGGAUAUUUCCUCUAGCCUCUGCGACCAGACUAGCUCUGGGGCGCACCCAGUUUCCUAAUCAAUGGGUAACGGGGUCUUUCCCGGGGGUAAAGCGCGACCAGGGCGCGAUGCUGACCUCCAUCUAGUGCCGAAGUCAAGAAUUAGUAGGAGCUAUACCUCCACUCCCCCCAAGCGCCUACAUGGCGUAUAGUGGGACAGCUUUACUUUACCUUCUCAUCAUGUAGUUGUUGGUUUAUGUUGGUUAGUAAAAUUGGAGAAAACAACGAUAUAAAAAAUGAGGAGUUUCGUCUAGAGCUAAACACAAUAUUAUAAUACAUCCAUGCCGUGUGAUCAUAAUGCAGGAAAAAAUCACAAUUUAAAGAAAGUAAAUAAAUUCCUCGAAAAUGUGGAACAUUGAAGUAUUUUUGAACUACAGUAACAAAACAAAUUUGCAUUAACAAAAGUCAAACUUGGACUGAAUGUUGGGAAUACUUGCUGCAAUUCUGAUCAGAAACUUUUCUCAUCCCCUCUGCUAUCCAAAAACGCAAAGAUUAAAAUACAAGCUAUAACUUCACCUUAGGGCCUACUUGGCAUGAGCGUGAAGUUUGGUGUCAAAAUGGUGAGAUUUCAGGUUCUUCCUUGUCCGACUGGUUCUCAUAUCUCAUAAAAUCCUCGCGCACGGCUAACUCAUCGCCCUGAUGAUGGAGCCAGCAACACCUAUGAAACGUCGGUAAAUAUUUACUAGCCUACAAGGCGCAAUGCCAUAGAAGACAGUCAUAUUGAGUAUGAAAAUGCAUCUUGAAGAAAAAGGGCUGACUGACUCAGGACAAGCUCUAAUGAACACGGUAAUGAAUCUUGAGGUUCGAUAAAGGUGGGGAAUGUCUCGACUAGAUGAACUGCUCCAGAUUGCGGUCUUCUGGGCUGUUGCGCUGUGUGUUCAACAAAAUUUCCUCGGAACAUGCUGUCACCAUCUUCAAGGUUGAAAUGACUACUAGUUUUCAAGGACUUUGUUCCCUGGAGUUGGUUUGUUUCUUUCCAGAUUCACAUGCUGAAACAAUUUUUGAAAACGACUCUUCUUUUCACUUGGUUCCAGACUAAUGACGAAAUUUGAGCCUGUGACUCACUCCCCCAGUCUUGAUUGCAACAGCAGUUGAUACAGGUGCUUUUUAGCAUGAUCUCUCUCUCUCUCUCUCUACAAAGGCAAGACAAGCCUCAGUGACUGUGUGGAAGGCAGAAGACAAGGGUCUCAAAUUUGUCCUUGAAAGGACGGCGGUAAAUAAUAUAUACUACCGGCCGUAAUGGCCUAGCGUGAAUUGGUUCCAGUUGCAAACCAGAUUAAAUAGCAAUAAUUUAAAUAAUUACGUUUAAACGACGAUAUAUGGUUUCGGCCAAAGUUGUACCUUGAACUCCAGCCGCGAAAACCUAUGGACAAGAAUUAAAUGUGUUCCUGCAAUAUCCAGCUCCAUGUAACACAUGGUUCUUGAGAAGCUAAUAAUCACCAUAACAACAACAACAACAAUCGUUGUCGUCGUAUGUUAAUAAAAAUAAUAAUGCUAAUAGUAACAGUAUGUUCGGCGACGCAGGAAAAUGUUCACCUUUUCUGGAAACCGAAGGUACAUUACCGUGUGCAUAAGAGCCACUCACCCGAGCCAGAUGAAUCUAAUCUACACCUCACAACUUAUUUCUUUAAGAGUCUGGUUGACAUUAUGAUGAUGCCUAAAACAGACUUCAAUCAAAGCAUUGAGCAAACUGUAUGAAAAAUUAAAAAUAGAAGUCAGACAAACUGUGAGGCACUGUGUUAGACACAAGAAGGAAUAAUGACUGGUGCGUGACGUCACUUGAUGCACAGACAGCAUCAAAGAUAGAAGAGUUGUUCCUUCAGCACAUCACAGAAACCAAAAUGAGACCAUCUGUGUUGAUGAUUAAAAAAUGCCACACAUUAUCAUCCUCCACAACUGUGCCUAGACAGGAAGAUCUUGUAGAUGCGGCUUCCUACAAAAUGUCUCCAUUAUGCAAAGAAAGUCUUGUUCCACAAUACCAAGACCAAAUAUUACAUCUAAAUACACCAGAAUUUUUGUCUAAUGUCUGUAUAGUAGAAGUGGAGGGGAAUCCACUAUAUUCUGGCUAAUGCCAAACAAGGUGGACAUCUACCAGACUACAGCAAUCUUCAAGGUUUAUGGCACACCGUAAAAUUUUGUGUCAAAGUGGCACAGUAGAUGAAGAAGAAGCAAUGAUAAUUUUUGUCUGUAGAAGAAACCUACAUUGAAAUUAUGCAUUCUUUAAUGUUACAAAACACAAAUUCAGUGAUCUUGACAAGCUCUUUCAUUAAAGGUUUGUACAUUGUCUUGAAGAGAACAAAUGGUAAGAGAAAUUGUAUUGAAGUUGUAGGACUUCCAAGCAGUCAGAGGCCUCCACCCUUAAUCAGUCGGACCCAUGGUUCAAACCUCGGUUGUGGCAGGCAAUGAGAAAUAUCAAGCUGCUGUUGCACAACGUACUGUCCCCAGAGUACAAUGCAUUGUCCACCCUAUCCGUGACCAAGCAGUGAGAAGAUGUAAAACACUAGAAUAAAAAUCUGAAAUGUCACACCUGGGUAAUGGUUUAACAUGAAAUGUGGAGUUGGUUCACACAUCGAGCAUGAUAAGGAGACAUACUCCACAGGAAGAUUCUAUGCUGUAAUAAAACCCUUAUCCAAUGGCA